This 667-nucleotide unclassified non-coding RNA is filed under the name Hevea brasiliensis (rubber tree). The record is from RNAcentral. Lineage: Eukaryota; Viridiplantae; Streptophyta; Magnoliopsida; Malpighiales; Euphorbiaceae.
GAUUAAUUGUUUUUUUUUAACUUCAAACAGACCUUCGCUAAUUCAUUAUCUUAGCUUAAGAAAUGAAAAUUUGUAAAAGGUGAAAAAUUUGAGAUGAAAAUUUAAGUGAAACAGAAGGGAAGUGUAGAAACCAGAAAGGAAUCUAUGCCCAUGUAAGUAAUGGAUGUUACCCAUUACUUAAUGGCCAGUAACAUUCAUUACCGUUACAUAACAAAAGUAACAACUGAUAGCGAUACCAAUAUUUUUGUUGUUAUUUAAUGUGGGUAACGUUAACACCCACCUCAAAAACUUGUAUCCAACAGCCAUUACAUUAUAUAAUGGCUGUUAUUUAAAACCAAGGUUAUAACCCAUUAUUGGGCUUGCUUAAUUAUGUGAAGGAUUUGUUUUGUGGCGACACGAGGCAGAGCAUGGAUAACUUUUUGGUGACAGGAACCUGAUCACAGGCGAGAUCGGGAACAGACUAUUCUGAUGGUACGGGCGGUGUAGUAAGUUGAACCCCAAAAGCCCACCAACUUGAAACAGCAAUACCAUUUCUUACAGGGACAAAAUGAACCUGAGGGGGAAAGAAAAGAGCAGGGAGGAAAAACAAAGACCGAGAGGCUCUAAUACCAUGAAGUAAUACAAGAACGGAUAGAAAGUUGGCUGAAAAGUUUGAUUAUUCCCUCAA